RNAcentral lists this ribosomal RNA (288 nucleotides) under Coscinodiscus wailesii. RNAcentral describes it as "partial Bacterial large subunit ribosomal RNA". It matches the Rfam family "Bacterial large subunit ribosomal RNA", at positions 181 to 520 of the family's 2925-position model. The record is from RNAcentral. Lineage: Eukaryota; Bacillariophyta; Coscinodiscophyceae; Coscinodiscales; Coscinodiscaceae.
AACCCGGAGAACUGAAACAUCUAAGUACCCGGAGGAAAGGACAUCAAUUGAGACUCCGUUAGUAGUGGCGAGCGAACGCGGAUCAGGCCAGUGCUCUUAUCAAUCGAACUCGAACCAUCUGGAAAGUUGGGCCGGAGUGGGUGACAGCCCCGUAGAGGUAGGAAAGAUAAGAGACUUGAGUAGGGCGGGACACGUGAAAUCCUGUCUGAACAUGGGGGGACCAUCCUCCAAGCCUAAGUACUCCUACAUGACCGAUAGUGGACCAGUACCGUGAGGGAAAGGUGAAAA